RNAcentral lists this long non-coding RNA (386 nucleotides) under Salvator merianae (Argentine black and white tegu). RNAcentral's name for it is "lncRNA (ENSSMRG00000018769.1)". The record is from RNAcentral. Lineage: Eukaryota; Metazoa; Chordata; Lepidosauria; Squamata; Teiidae.
GCUAAUCAUAGGAUGAAAAUGGCUUCCAUCUGUAGCAACUCUUGUUUUGGAUUUCUUCUCUGGAUGCUUGAAAUGUUCCCCUUUUCUUUUCUUUUUUUUCACUCAUCAUCCCAGGGCCAAAGAUGGAAACCUUCUAAUCCUUUGUUGAAAUCUUCCUGGGGCCAUCAAGAGGUGAAGAGAAUCUGCAGAAAAUGCAAAGAGACAUUAGAUUUUGGGAAGCUUUGUUCCACAGUGUAUAUUUAACUUCAGAAGAAGAAAAAGUGAAAGAAUACGAGGCAGAGAGACAGAGAGACAGGCCGAGAGAAAAAUCAAUGAACAAGAAUAUUAAAAGGAGAGAAGCGGUGUCGAGCACGAAUGAAAUGUAAGUAAAAGGCAGCACCUGUGGC